Molecule: long non-coding RNA, 1311 nt
Filed under: Felis catus (domestic cat)
Lineage: Eukaryota; Metazoa; Chordata; Mammalia; Carnivora; Felidae
Description: lncRNA (ENSFCAG00000050352.1)
Source: RNAcentral
GAGACAGGAACUUACAGAGUCCUUCGCUUUAGCACUUACUAAAGCAAUUAUACUGAUUUUUUUAAAUUAUGUUUUCAGCCUCUCUGGUUUAAACAAUCUGGGUCAAACACUUCCAGACUGUUCAGGCUGGCUCAGAUCUGGGCCCUUCAACUGUCCCGGAAAUACCCUCUUCAUCCCUUGCUGUGGCUACAGUGGGCUUUGGCAGGCUCCCCCUCGGCCAGGUGUUUUCCCCCAACAGUUGCCAUGGCAGCAAUGUUCAACAGAGGUUCUGAGGGGCUUGGAAUUGACAAGCCAGAGGUGGGGCCUGAGUUGCUGUCUCCAGUCCACGAUUUGCUGAUCCAUCUGUCUUCCUCAGAGAGGGAGCACAUAGUACAGGACUGUGCUUCCUUGGAAGAUGACAGGCACCAGGCCAGACUAACAGACCCAAUCCUGAAAGGAGAAGCAGCAACAUUGGAGCCGUCUCUCGCCUCCCACCCCAAGUUCAUCUAGCAGCCCUGCCCCACCCCCUCGAGCAGGCAGAUUUUCUCCCCGACACUUCUCUAUGCAUAGGUAUGUAUAACACAUUGGAAAAUUGGAUCACACUCUACCUAGAGGUCCGAGGCUUAUCUUCUCCCUUUAAACAUACGGGGCGCCUUUCACUGUCAAUUCACAGAGGUCUGCUGUAAUCUGUUGAAAAUAGUUUCACUGUAUUUCGUCAUAGGACAUAGCAGACAUACCACAAUACACCAAGCCAGUCUCCCACUCAUGAGCAGUAUAGCUGUCUCCAGCUUUUGGCUGUUGCCGGUGCUGCAGUGCACAUUUCUGCACACCCGAGCAGUCUUGUUUUGAACCCACCAACCACUGUGCUUCCUCACCAUGGCUUUUACUUAGGAAAGUACUAAACGGGAGUGCAUUUCUCCUGGGCUGGGGGACUCAGCUCUCCACGCCCAGUUUCAAGCUGCCCUGCAAGCCGGCGCCCCACGGGUUCUGAGCCAACGUCAGUGAGAAUGACCAUGCGUGAGAAUCCGGACCCCACAGAGUCACCAGCCUGGCCGGCCUCUCACCUCCUGUUCCGGGGAACGGAGGCACCUCUGCAUCAUUUUCUGUAAUGCCAAAGGAAAUCCCCAGAUAAGACGGACACCCUCAUGCUUCACAGGAGACACUCCCCCACUCCCACGGAGAUAAACUCAUGAAUGCUUUCUUAAUCACAGCUCAUGAUUCUCUGGGGCCCUCCCGGGGCUGCCAAAACCUCUCUCAGCCCAUUGCUGCUGCUACCGCAGCCAGACACAGCACUUCCUAGAAAAUCAUCAUCCCGUUUACUGUUUAUUCUUG